UAAAAUUUAUAAAAUUAGGUAAUAAAGAAAUGUCUGAAACCUAAAGAAUUUGGCGGUAUUUUAAAUAAUUGGAGGAACCUGUUAUUUAAUUGACAACCCACAACGUAUCUUACCUAAAUUUUAUUUGUAUAUCGUCGUUUUGAUAAUAUUUAAAAAUUAUAAUCAGUGCCAAAAAUUUUUCAAAAAUCAGAUCAAGGUGCAGUAUAUUUAGGGUAUAAUGGGUUACAAUAUAAUUAUAUAAAAUGGAUAUAAAAUUGAAAUUAUAUUGAAAGUGGAUUCAAAAGUAAUAUUAAAUUAAAAUGUUAAUAUGAUUAAAAAUUUAAAAUAUGC
Molecule: ribosomal RNA, 330 nt
Filed under: Chihuahuanus bilineatus
Lineage: Eukaryota; Metazoa; Arthropoda; Arachnida; Scorpiones; Vaejovidae
Description: partial 12S ribosomal RNA
Source: RNAcentral